UCAGAGUACUAUUUGUUUGUGGAAGAAUUUCGCAAGAAUCCUGGCAUCGCUUGGAUUCUGAAACCAGUCACAAGGCGAAGGAGUUUUCCUGUUCCGAAAAGUGAAGGAUAGUGUUGAUUGAAGAAGGUUGAAAGUUUGUCCUGAGGGUUUAUGUCCUAGUGACAUCUGUGAGUGCAAACCACCGUUACUGUGCCAGAAAUGGAUUUCUGUGUCUUAACGCCCAGUUGCUCCUUUUGUCUUCUCCCAGUACGUCCCACUGAAGGCCUGGUUAUACAGAGGUAUCCCACCUUAAUUUGAUGGCUUAGGAGACAGGAAAAUCCAUCACUUCUCUCUGUGAAAGUUCAGCAGAGUUCACGCUUGCUCUGAAUGAUCAAAAGCCCUUCCAGAGUGCGGGUACAGCACGCUGCCUUGGGUGAAGGCGCACUGAGGUUUGGAGACACGGUGACGUGAAGAGCUUCCUGCCAGCCGCGAGGCACAGUACUCACUCAGGCCAGUCACUCCUUCGUU
This is a long non-coding RNA of Egretta garzetta (little egret), 507 nucleotides long. RefSeq lists it as uncharacterized. The transcript is spliced from 4 exons. The record is from RefSeq and is a predicted model, not a curated record. NCBI's taxonomy places the organism in Eukaryota, Metazoa, Chordata, Aves, Pelecaniformes, Ardeidae.